This 472-nucleotide ribosomal RNA is filed under the name uncultured bacterium. RNAcentral's name for it is "bacterial SSU rRNA". It matches the Rfam family "Bacterial small subunit ribosomal RNA", at positions 329 to 793 of the family's 1533-position model. The record is from RNAcentral.
UUCCAGACUCCUACGGGAGGCAGCAGUGGGGAAUAUUGCGCAAUGGGCGAAAGCCUGACGCAGCGACGCCGCGUGAGGGAUGAAGGUCUUCGGAUCGUAAACCUCUGUCAGCAGGGAAGAACGGCCACUGUGCUAAUCAGCAGUGAAUUGACGGUACCUGCAAAGGAAGCACCGGCUAACUCCGUGCCAGCAGCCGCGGUAAUACGGAGGGUGCGAGCGUUAAUCGGAAUCACUGGGCGUAAAGCGCGCGUAGGCGGCUUUUCAAGUCAGGGGUGAAAUCCCACGGCCCAACCGUGGAACUGCCUUUGAAACUGUAGAGCUUGAGUGUCGGAGAGGGUGGCGGAAUUCCAGGUGUAGGAGUGAAAUCCGUAGAUAUCUGGAGGAACACCGGUGGCGAAGGCGGCCACCUGGACGACAACUGACGCUGAGGUGCGAAAGCGUGGGUAGCAAACAGGAUUAGAUACCCUAGUAA